Molecule: long non-coding RNA, 1442 nt
Filed under: Sinocyclocheilus anshuiensis
Lineage: Eukaryota; Metazoa; Chordata; Actinopteri; Cypriniformes; Cyprinidae
Description: lncRNA (ENSSANG00000014858.1)
Source: RNAcentral
UAACACAACAUUCUAUUAAAAGAUAUGCUAUUAUAUGCACUGUAAUAGCGAAUAUCACUCAGAAAUAAGUCUUUUUACGAAGCUUUUGAAUAUUCAAAUUGAAAGUAUCGCGCAAUCAAAUCAUUGUCAAAUCAUUGAGUUCUUGGGGUUUUAAAUAGUAGGGAUGAGGGGAGAAAAACUCAAACUAAAAUAUCCCUAGCUAUAUUACUGCAUAAUUGUAUGUCCUGAGAGUGUUUUGAGGUUACUUUGUUGAGACUUUUUAAGACUUUUGUGAAUAAUUCGAUCUUGCCCAUAUAAUAGAGCAAAGAACUGACGUUGGGGUAUUUCACUGUAGCACUUCCAGAGUUUUCCUCCUUUUCAGGCCAAUAUGUCUGCAGAUAAACCUAAGGUAUACCAGGGUGUGCGUGUGAAGACCACCGUUAAGGAGUUGCUGCAGAAGCACAGAGCCCUGCAGGCACAGAAAACCGCAACGAAAUCACAAGCCGUGGCUGCUCGCGAUGUCUGUUCUACGACCAUGAAUACCCACCUUGAUAUCUUUGGAAUGCAAGCUCCAGAGCCCUAUUUCCAGACACGUCCCUUUACCGAAAAUGUCAACAUCCCGAUGGAGAAUGCUUAUGAUCAUCAACAGAUGAUGCAUAUGAUGCCACCUGAGACUUUCAGCUGCAGUAAUUUCGUGUGUCCCAUCUCUGCGCAGUGGUCUGAUGGAUAUCUACCUUCUAACACGGACCUCUAUGGUACUAGCCUGGUUUCGAGGUCACCCUCAGACUCCAUCAAUCUCCCCAGUCCCGUCGACUACAACAGUUACUCCCCCCCUCAGUCCAACUCUUCAUCUUCUUCGUGCUACAACUCCCCAACACGGAUGGAUUUGAGCUCCAGUUUCUCUCCAGAAAAUUACCACUAUCAGCAUUGCAACCUACAGCAUUGCUUUUGUCUGUCGCACUGGUCCAAUGUGCAGGAAGGCAUGGCAACCUCAGAGUUUGCGCCCUACGGCUCAUCAGACUGUUUGUAUUCAUAUGGCGACGACAGCUAUUUCAGAAGGGAUACUUCAAACUCAGACAUGUGUUACUUAUAAAAUGCAUUUUGAAGCGCUUUGCGCGAAAAUCCAGUGUCAUAAUUGAUUCAUUCGAAUGCAUUUGUUGUACUUUAGUUUAGAUAAAAGAACAAGCAGUGAUAGAAUGCAUGAUUGGGCUUAGUUUAGUAGUUUAAGCAAAAAGGUUGAUUGCAGAGAGCUAAAUAUGUGUGAGUAUAAUUUACAAAUUAUUCUUUUAUCUUUUUUUACAAUAAACAUAUUUUUCGUAAUUUUACUGGUAUCUUUUAUUGAAAAUAUCUUAGAUAUAUUAAUAAUGGGGAAAAUAUUUCAGAUUUGCAGGGUGUAGUUUCUGUUUCUCACUUUAGAAAUGAACAUCGGAGCUUUGACAGCUGUGGCACAAUUAUUGUUUUGC